AUUAUACCUAGAUGGUCUCCUGAUUCAGUCCCUUACAAGAUGUCUGAUUUUAGGUAUUACUUCAAAAAAGCCAAUGCUUAUGUUACUAAUCAGGAAGAAAUGGAGAAGGAACUUGAGUACAUUUACAACGUAAGCUGAUUGUAUGGUUAUAGUAAGCAUUUCUUAAAAGCAAUUUAUUAUAAAGUAUGGCAUCCUCCACAAGUGAAAACACCACUGAUGAAGCUAAAGAAGUAGAAUAUGAGCCUAUCCCAUAUGCGAUGAAAGAUUAUAAAGUUUCCAAGAAGCUGGCUAGAAAGACCAAGAAGAAGUUGGCUUAUAAGAGAUACCUGAUGCUAUGCAACCAACUCAGAAACGAGAAAGACAAAAUUGAAAGUAAACAAUAUGGGGUAUAUAAAAUACCAGUGAGGAACAAUGGGACAUGCAGAAAGGAAGCAUACAUAGGAGUAAUGACUAGGACACUUGACCAAAGAUUG
This 473-nucleotide long non-coding RNA is filed under the name Androctonus crassicauda. Lineage: Eukaryota; Metazoa; Arthropoda; Arachnida; Scorpiones; Buthidae. The record is from RNAcentral.